CUUUCGGGUCGAAUUAUUACAGCGUAUAUAUAAACACACAAGAAACUAGGGUUUCUCUUCUUUGAUUCUUAUUCUUCUUCCCUUAUUCAAUCCAGCCUCCAUCUUUCUAUACACGCUAAUCCUUACCCACUCCAUUUCUCAUAUGAAAACCCUAAAAUUAAUGGUUGAAGUCGCAAAUCGAAUGGGUAUAACCAUCUCUUUCUCUGAAUCAUGUGUAUCAAUCAAUUCUGAUUUGUGAUGCCAUGACUAACAGAGGUUUUAGAUCAUUGUUAGAGUUGACCACUCCUCCACCGUGGUCAAUUGAUCUGCACCGUUUUCUUCCACAUAAUAUUAGGGUUUAUAAUUUUUAAGUUCACAGUAACAUUCAGCUAAAAAUGAGCAAAAGCCGAGAAAGUGAAAGUUACUCUAAAGAAUGGUGUGGCAAGAGUAAAAGGGUUCACAAAGAAAAGGUCAAAAGUGGAGAAAGAGGAGUUGGCUGUUGUUGAAGAUCUCAAACUGAAAGAGAGGUUGACAAGUCGUUACAAAGGGUGGAAGAAGAAGCUCAGCGAAUAUAUAAAGACGAGCAUGGUGUGCUUCUUGAUGAUGAAGCAGCUUCAACUAGAGAUGCAAUGUAUGAGCAGGUUGAUCUCUAAUUCAGAAACUUAAUGCCAAUCAGAUGGGUUGCCAUAAGGAUGGAUUAAAGAAACCAGAACUAAGAUAUAUGCAACCCACAAAAGAAAUAAUCUGUUCUAUACAGACCCUGAGACUGGAUACAUCUUUCGGUCCAAAGCUGAUGCUCUGCGUUAUAUAGAGACCAGAGAUGUGAACUCAUGUGGUAUUAGACCAAAAGUUAAGGAUAAAGAUGGAAAGGAAGCUGUAAGUCCUUAAGAUUUGCAGUUUUUAGGCAUCGUUAUGGAAUUACCAAACUGUCAUAUUGACUUUAGUUGACCUGAAUGUUUUUUCUUGACAUUAUGUAUAUACAAACAAUGCACAAAAACCCACUACUGGAGAUGACGUGGCGACUGAAGUUCCUGAAGAGAAUCACACCCCUGAUCCAAAAACCGCUAUUGACAUAAACCACAGGGUGACAAAGAAUAGCAGUCCCGCGACUGAUUCGCCAUCUCGAUCUUCAAAAAGGCAAAAAGGGAAAGAUUACGAGACUGCCCCUACAAGCGGUGUUCCCGCUGAGAAGCAGGAAACAUGGGUAAAUUUGGAAAAACAACCUGAUGAUGGCAAUCUAACUUUUAACAUUCCAGAAGAUGAUAACUGGACAGACCAAUGCAUUGACUUUGCGGUGAAAACACUUACAGUCGAAAUCAUGUUUAAUGGUCAACCAGUGGAGACAACAAGUGUGAAGGACACUCCUCCAGCAAAGGUGAACUGAGGUAUGAUGUUCAGUGGGAUUCUCAGCGGGUGGAGAACUUGAAGCAACUAAUGGUAUGUUCCCACAGGAUGUUGUUGCUCGGGUCCUUAACAAUCAACUAAUCUCAUUAGUGUGGAUCGAUGAAAGGGUUGGUGUGCUCCUGGUUUUAUACACUUUCUCUAAUUAACCUUGGUUGAAAAUAACCAUGUCAAAGUUAAAAUCAAUCUCAGGUCAAAGUUUAUCUAAUAAUUGCCAGUUUCAACCUGAACACAAGAGGCAAAUUGGAUGGUUUGGGUAAUGAGUCACAAUGGGUAAAAGUUGUUUUACUUGGUUGAAAGUCAAAAUGAUCAAAGUCAAAAUUAAAACUUAUCCAACAAUUAUUUGUUUCAACCUAAACACAAGUGGCUAAAUGGACAGGUUAUGUAAUGGGUCAAAACGGGUAAUCGUUUAAAUUAUUUUACUCCGCAACAUAAAAAACUGUUCGUGUAAGUUCAGUCUUCGCAAGAGUUGUAUUUUUAAGUUCGUUUUGUUUAUAUAUAUCUUAGUAAUCUCCGUAAGAGAUGAUGUCAGUGAGUGCAUGGUGAGAAAAGAACUACGAACCCCCCCUCCCCAUUAAUAUAUAACUGACAUUAUUGUUAUUAUCAUUGGACAAAUAUUUUGAUUUUACCCGUUUAACCGUAUGUUUGAAUAUGUUGUUGCAGCUACACAAUGUGUUCUUUGGACUUGCAUAUGUCGUGUACUGUCAUCAAGUAAUAAAGCUUUCUUAAAUUGGUGUUGAACAUACGCCGCAAAGCAGUUUGGUAAUUUGGUCAAAAGGGGUUUAGAAAGUGGUUAAGUGGGUGAUUUUUGGUACGGGUUGACACAAUUUGUAUUAUAAUCAUAGUAAUUGUCCAUGACAACCCGUUAGAUUUUUUGACCCGAGUAGUAUGUAGAAUCUUGAAUCUUGAUUCUGUUUGGCAAAUGAAAUGGGCCAGGUAGGGCUAGGUAACGAUUCACAUGUUUGGGUGGAAACACAUUCUGGCCAAAAUGGGGUUAGGUCGAAGUGGGCUGUAUUAAUGAAGUAUCAGUUUUGUUUGGGUCAAAAUGGGUUCCAAUAUUAUUAUUUAGGUGUUGUUGUAUGAGAGACUAUAUGUUUGUUGACCCGCUGUCAUCCUGUAGUCAAUUCAUGUUAGAUUAUAUAAAUUACUACAAAGUAAGUCGACAUCAUGUAUGAUAUGGUUGAUUUCAUAGGUUUCAUGAAGUGCACAUCAACAUGGCUGCACGUACCGAUAAAAGACUCUUUGUUCCUAUCAUAAGGGGGUGUUUCAGAUCUAGGGGAUCCAUCCCAGGCCGACAUUCUAGCAGUGGAUUUGGUGAGUAGAUGAAUAAGUUCACUUUGUAUCAAGUAGAGCCAUGCCAACAAUCUUGACCCAAAGCUGAUAAUCUAAGUUGAAAUGGCCUGAAAAAUAUUGAAUUUGGGUUGGAAUAGGCAAGCAAAAAGUAAGUUAAAUUCUUGACGGUUAAAUUCCGCAUUUAUAGUCUAAUGGUUCAAGUGCGGUAUAAUUGGCGACAUCGCGUCGACGUUGAGACAUGGCCUCCAUUCAUGGCGAUUUUUAUUGUUUCGUCUAGCAACGUACAUUUCCUUCUUUGAUCUUUGGUCUUUUCUUUGUUUUUUCAUUGCAACAGUAAUUUUAUGUGAUCGUGAUUCUGAUUUUGUUUUCUAUAAGCUUUGUAUUGAUUUAGGGGACAUGGAGUGGUCUGUGUGAAUCGAUUUCAUUUUUCUAUGGAUUAUCAAUCCCAUAUUCAACAUUUUAUGAUGUGUUAAGGCGGACCAAAAUUAUGUCAAAGGAAUCAGUCAAUGACCUUAAAGACCGAACUUGAAAAAUAUACACGAACCUGAACACGACCCGAAUAUUCACUUGGUGCCUCGAGCACGACCCGUUCACCCCGAGUUUUAUUGUAUUAUUAAUUUUUUUUUCCAAAAAUUAAUAUAUUAAAAUUAAAAUAAUUAUUUUAGAUUAUGAGGGGUUCUCCCAUUUUGUCGAGAUAAAAAAAAGUGUCUGCUUUUCGCUUUGAUUAAUUUGUUUUAUUUUAGAUUAUAUUUUUGUGUCAUUUAGUUUUAUAGACAUUAUAAGGAUAUAUUAAUGUGAGGUUCAAAAAUGGUCCAGUUAACUUGAAAAUCAAGUUGCAACAGUAACAUUACGGGAGAAACAAAAGGCAAUUGCUAUCAAAGAUUCAAGGGGUAGUUAUUAACAUGGCCUUUGUUGCAUGUUAGCCACCAACCAGACACAAGCAGCCCCCAUAUGACCUUUUAGUUAUAGUUCAAUUGAUGGUAACCUGGUACUAAUUGUUUGUUGGCCUUGCUGGCUAGAGAGUGUGCUCGAGCCGAGUCAUGUGAAAAAAAAGAGCUAGGAAUGCUAUGUUGUUUUUCCACAGUAUACUACUUGAAAGAGUGCAAACAAUACAAGUCGGAUGGGUUGGCUAACGUGUCAACUGUCAACACGAGUUCAGGUACCCAUGAAGAGGAUUCUUUUCCCUGCAAUGGGCUGCUGUGUUGAGGCUAAUACUGCACAACCUCCACCACUUCCCCUUCUUAAAGAAAACUCAGUUUGGUGGUUUGAAAGAUGAAGACCACAUACCACAUAUUUACGAACCUUUAUGGUAUACAUGACACAUUUCUCAAAAGGGCCAUGAAGCGUGGUGAUUUGUAUAGAACUAAGGAUUUAGUGAUCAAGAGUUCCGAUUGGAUUUCUUGCUAUAUAAGUGAUAGAACUAAGGUACAUAUUAUUAUAAAAAGUCAUUUGCGGAGCACACAUGCAAUAAGCUAAAAGUCAACUAACCUAA
Molecule: long non-coding RNA, 4165 nt
Organism: Helianthus annuus (common sunflower)
Lineage: Eukaryota; Viridiplantae; Streptophyta; Magnoliopsida; Asterales; Asteraceae
Exons: 11
Source: RefSeq, a predicted model, not a curated record